This 462-nucleotide ribosomal RNA is filed under the name uncultured bacterium. Its description in RNAcentral is "bacterial SSU rRNA". It matches the Rfam family "Bacterial small subunit ribosomal RNA", at positions 368 to 850 of the family's 1533-position model. The record is from RNAcentral.
ACAAUGGGCGCAAGCCUGAUAUAGCCAUGCCGCGUGUGUGAUGAAGGCGUUAGGGUCUUAAAGCACUUUCUCCAGGGAUGAUAAAGACAGUACCCGGUAAAGAAACCCCGGGUAAAUCCGUGCCAGCAGCCGCGGUAAUAUGGAGGGGGUGAGCGUUUUUUGGAAAUACUGGGCGUAAAGCGUAUGUGGGGGGAUCAGAAAGUAAGGGGUGAAAUCCCAGGGCUCAACCCCGGAACUGCCUAUUAAACUCUUGGUCUUGAGUUCACGAGAGAUGAAAGGAAUUCCGAGAGUAGAGGUGAAAUUUGUAGAUAUUCGGAGGAACACCAGUGGCGAGGGCGGCUCACAGGCUCGAUAGAGACGCUGAGGUGCGAAAGAGUGGGGAGCAAACACGAGAAGAUACCCCGGUAGUCCACACCCUAAACGAUGAAUGCCAGUGGUCGGGCAGUUACUUUCGGUGACACA